Molecule: transfer RNA, 85 nt
Filed under: Bacteroidota bacterium
Lineage: Bacteria; Pseudomonadati; Bacteroidota
Description: Bacteroidetes bacterium (freshwater metagenome) tRNA-Ser
Rfam family: tRNA
About the family: Transfer RNA (tRNA) molecules are approximately 80 nucleotides in length. Their secondary structure includes four short double-helical elements and three loops (D, anti-codon, and T loops). Further hydrogen bonds mediate the characteristic L-shaped molecular structure. tRNAs have two regions of fundamental functional importance: the anti-codon, which is responsible for specific mRNA codon recognition, and the 3' end, to which the tRNAs corresponding amino acid is attached (by aminoacyl-tRNA synthetases). tRNAs cope with the degeneracy of the genetic code in two manners: having more than one tRNA (with a specific anti-codon) for a particular amino acid; and 'wobble' base-pairing, i.e. permitting non-standard base-pairing at the 3rd anti-codon position.
Source: RNAcentral
GGAGAGUUGGCAGAGUGGUCUAUUGCGGCGGUCUUGAAAACCGUUGAGGGUCAUACCUCCGGGGGUUCGAAUCCCUCAUUCUCCG